UGGGGAAUAUUGGUCAAUGGACGCAAGUCUGAACCAGCCAUGCCGCGUGCAGGAAGACGGCUCUAUGAGUUGUAAACUGCUUUUGUACUAGGGUAAACGCUUCUACGUGUAGGAGCCUGAAAGUAUAGUACGAAUAAGGAUCGGCUAACUCCGUGCCAGCAGCCGCGGUAAUACGGAGGAUCCAAGCGUUAUCCGGAUUUAUUGGGUUUAAAGGGUGCGUAGGCGGUUUGAUAAGUUAGAGGUGAAAUACCGGGGCUCAACUCCGGAACUGCCUCUAAUACUGUUGAACUAGAGAGUAGUUGCGGUAGGCGGAAUGUAUGGUGUAGCGGUGAAAUGCUUAGAGAUCAUACAGAACACCGAUUGCGAAGGCAGCUUACCAAACUAUAUCUGACGUUGAGGCACGAAAGCGUGGGGAGCAAACAGG
Molecule: ribosomal RNA, 424 nt
Filed under: uncultured bacterium
Lineage: Bacteria
Description: bacterial SSU rRNA
Rfam family: Bacterial small subunit ribosomal RNA
Source: RNAcentral